GGCCUUGACAUACUAAGAACUUUCCAGAGAUGGAUUGGUGCCUUCGGGAACUUAGAUACAGGUGCUGCAUGGCUGUCGUCAGCUCGUGUCGUGAGAUGUUGGGUUAAGUCCCGCAGCGAGCGCAACCCUUUUCCUUAUUUGCCAGCGGGUUAAGCCGGGAACUUUAAGGAUACUGCCAGUGACAAACUGGAGGAAGGCGGGGACGACGUCAAGUCAUCAUGGCCCUUACGGCCAGGGCUACACACGUGCUACAAUGGUCGGUACAAAGGGUUGCUACCUCGCGAGAGGAUGCUAAUCUCAAAAAGCCGAUCGUAGUCCGGAUCGCAGUCUGCAACUCGACUGCGUGAAGUCGGAAUCGCUAGUAAUCGCGGAUCAGAAUGCCGCGGUGAAUACGUUCCCGGGCCUUGUACACACCGCCCGUCACACCAUGGGAGUUUGUUGCACCAGAAGUAGGUAGUCUAACCGCAAGGAGGACGCUUACCACGGUGUGGCCGAUGACUGGGGUGAAGUCGUAACAAGGUAGGCGUAGAUGA
RNAcentral lists this ribosomal RNA (533 nucleotides) under uncultured bacterium. RNAcentral describes it as "bacterial SSU rRNA". It matches the Rfam family "Bacterial small subunit ribosomal RNA", at positions 977 to 1509 of the family's 1533-position model. The record is from RNAcentral.